Otolemur garnettii (small-eared galago) is the source of this 611-nucleotide RNA transcript. It is a transcript of the gene named neutral cholesterol ester hydrolase 1 pseudogene, with no coding region annotated. The transcript has a single exon. Lineage: Eukaryota; Metazoa; Chordata; Mammalia; Primates; Galagidae. The record is from RefSeq and is a predicted model, not a curated record.
GGCUGGCAGGCGAGCGAGGGCGGCAUGCGGGCGUCCUGCGUGCUGCUGGCCGCGCUGGCGGCGCUGGCCGCCUACUACGUGUACAUCCCGCUGCCCGGCUCCGUGUCCGACCCCUGGAAGCUGAUGCUGCUGGACGCGACCUUCCGGGGCGCACAGCAAGUGAGUAACCUCAUACACUACCUGGGACUGAGCCAUCACCUGCUUGCACUGAAUUUUAUCAUUGUUUCUUUCGGCAAAAAAACUGCCUGGUCAUCUGCCCAAGUGAAGGUGACAGACACCGAGUUUGAUGGCGUGGAAGUCAGGGUGUUCGAAGGCCCUCGAAAGCCAGAGGAGCCGCUGCAGCGGAGCGUUGUGUAUGUCCACGGAGGAGGCUGGGCCUUGGCAAGCGCAAAAAUCAGAUAUUAUGAUGAGCUGUGCACUGUAAUGGCUGAAGAACUGAAUGCUGUCAUUGUCUCCAUUGAGUCACUGUUUGGAUGCCACCCUUUCAGCCAGGCCUUUCUUGACAAGUAAAGUUGCAACCUGCCUUCCUCUAUUUUCUCUGCAAGGCUGUCAUCAGUGCCUUACAGACCACAUAUUCAACUUAUUAUGUGGGUUUUUUUUCAUGAAAAUCA